Cydia pomonella (codling moth) is the source of this 7047-nucleotide RNA transcript. It is a transcript of the gene named sorting nexin-4-like, with no coding region annotated. The record is from RefSeq and is a predicted model, not a curated record. Lineage: Eukaryota; Metazoa; Arthropoda; Insecta; Lepidoptera; Tortricidae. The transcript has 11 exons.
GAAACGUAAAAAUAGUCCAAAUUAGACGUGAGAAUGAGAUGAUUUUGAACAAUUUUCGACUCUAAAUUGAUUUCAUUGUUAUAAAAAUAUACAAAGAAUCGUAGUUAAAAUGUCUGCAGAAAAUUCACCAGUUAAGCCUUCAAGAUCGCCUAGUGUAAUAGAAACGUUAGAAGACUACGAGUCUCAGGACACAUUGAUAAAACACGUUGAUAUAUCAAUAGUGGAGUCAGAGAAGCGUGCUAAUGGAACUUUACACGUGAGGGACCACUACACUGUAUAUCUAAUAGACCUGAAAGUAACAGAUCCAGACUACAAACUAGUACAAUCCAAAAUCAGUACCAUCUGGAGGAGAUACACGGAGUUUGAACAGAUACAUGACUAUCUUUUAGUGACCUAUCCACACUGUGUGGUGCCGCCACUGCCAGAGAAAAGGGUUCUUUACGCCUGGCGGAAAUCUGACACCACAGACCCAGAGUUCGUGGAGCGGCGGCGGGCAGGGUUGGAGAACUUCCUCCUCCGCGUGGCCUCACAUCCUCGGCUCAGCUUCGAUGACCAGUUCAUCAGCUUCUUGCAGCAGGAGCACUGGCGGGAGACCAUCACUGAUAGUGGAUACCUAUUACAAGCGGAGAACAAGCUGAAAUCUCUGUCAGUGUCAAUCAGACUUAAGAAGCCGGAUCCGGAAAUAGAAACUGUCAAAAACUAUGGAAAGCAGUUGGAAACUAACUUAGGAAAUUUUCUUUAUACUAGGUCUAAAAUAAUCGAGAAAAACUACGCAUUAUGUAAGCUGCACGCGGCCUACGGCAAACUGUUCAGCGAAUGGAGCGUCGUCGAGAAAGACAUGGGCGACGGGCUGCAGAAGGCCGGACACUAUUUCGAUUCAAUAGCAGAAGGCAUCGACGCGGUCGCCGAAGACGAAGAGCAACUGGCCGACCAACUAAAAGAAUACUUGUUCUACGCGUGCGCCCUCCAGCAACUCGCGCACAACCACGAGGCUCUGCAGCGAGCCACGGAGCUCGCACACGACACACUUGCUAACCGGAUAGCUGAGCGCAACCGCGCCGCGGCGGGCAAGUCGGGGCUGAUGUCGCGGCUGUUCGGCGGCACCGACCCCGACAUCGUGCGCGACCACGCCACCAGGGCGCUCGACGCCAAGAUACUGCAGGACAAGGAGAACAUCGAGAAGGCCAAGCGGGACCUGGAGUAAGUACUAGUCGGGGCUGAUGUCGCGGCUGUUCGGCGGCACCGACCCCGACAUCGUGCGCGACCACGCCACCAGGGCGCUCGACGCCAAGAUACUGCAGGACAAGGAGAACAUCGAGAAGGCCAAGCGGGACCUGGAGUAAGUACUAGUCGGGGCUGAUGUCGCGGCUGUUCGGCGGCACCGACCCCGACAUCGUGCGCGACCACGCCACCAGGGCGCUCGACGCCAAGAUACUGCAGGACAAGGAGAACAUCGAGAAGGCCAAGCGGGACCUGGAGUAAGUACUAGUCGGGGCUGAUGUCGCGGCUGUUCGGCGGCACCGACCCCGACAUCGUGCGCGACCACGCCACCAGGGCGCUCGACGCCAAGAUACUGCAGGACAAGGAGAACAUCGAGAAGGCCAAGCGGGACCUGGAGUAAGUACUAGUCGGGGCUGAUGUCGCGGCUGUUCGGCGGCACCGACCCCGACAUCGUGCGCGACCACGCCACCAGGGCGCUCGACGCCAAGAUACUGCAGGACAAGGAGAACAUCGAGAAGGCCAAGCGGGACCUGGAGUAAGUACUAGUCGGGGCUGAUGUCGCGGCUGUUCGGCGGCACCGACCCCGACAUCGUGCGCGACCACGCCACCAGGGCGCUCGACGCCAAGAUACUGCAGGACAAGGAGAACAUCGAGAAGGCCAAGCGGGACCUGGAGUAAGUACUAGUCGGGGCUGAUGUCGCGGCUGUUCGGCGGCACCGACCCCGACAUCGUGCGCGACCACGCCACCAGGGCGCUCGACGCCAAGAUACUGCAGGACAAGGAGAACAUCGAGAAGGCCAAGCGGGACCUGGAGUAAGUACUAGUCGGGGCUGAUGUCGCGGCUGUUCGGCGGCACCGACCCCGACAUCGUGCGCGACCACGCCACCAGGGCGCUCGACGCCAAGAUACUGCAGGACAAGGAGAACAUCGAGAAGGCCAAGCGGGACCUGGAGUAAGUACUAGUCGGGGCUGAUGUCGCGGCUGUUCGGCGGCACCGACCCCGACAUCGUGCGCGACCACGCCACCAGGGCGCUCGACGCCAAGAUACUGCAGGACAAGGAGAACAUCGAGAAGGCCAAGCGGGACCUGGAGUAAGUACUAGUCGGGGCUGAUGUCGCGGCUGUUCGGCGGCACCGACCCCGACAUCGUGCGCGACCACGCCACCAGGGCGCUCGACGCCAAGAUACUGCAGGACAAGGAGAACAUCGAGAAGGCCAAGCGGGACCUGGAAGAGUUUUCAAAGAAGGCUGCUAUAGAAAUAGAACAUUUCCAAAAGCAAAAAGACAAAGACCUCCACGAGUCGCUGGUCGGGUUCAUAUCAUUGCAAGUUAAAGCCGCGAAAAAGAAUCUUCAAGCGUGGACCCAAAUAAAGGAAUGCCUACAGAACAUGCCCUGAACGCGGCCCGCCCGCGGGCGACCAACAAAUUGUACAGGUUAUCCAACACUAGGCGUUGAUUCAUUUGAGUUAAGGCGAUGGAGGCGUUACCAAAGAACCGGAAUGUGUAAAUGGUAAAAUUGGUAGUCAUAUUUUAAGGUGCUUACCAAAUGUUUGAAGCAGUUUUCUUAGUAAUAUCUGCAACUAAUGAUAAAGUACUUGAUGGUGACUAAAUGACCAUUUCUAGCGUACGAACAGGUGGUGGCAUUAUUAGGCAGAGAACAAUGGAGUCGCCUUGAUAUAUUUUAUAAUUGAAUGAAUAACGAUUAAUAAUUGAUUUCUCUUAAAUAUAAACUUCUUAUAAGUAGUGCCAAAGUGUUUGAAAUGUAAAUAAUAAAUUAAUUUUCUCAUUAUUUCCCAAUUUGAUUAGGCCUAAAGCAGACCAACGUUAUUAUACUACAAAUAAACAACACCAAAUUAUAUUGUCGUAUCUAUAAUUUAAGAAAAUUUAGGCCAGUAAUGAAAGUUGUAUGUAUAUGGUUAGGAAGUAUAUCGAUUAAGUGUGAGAAUUAUAAAGGAAAUAGGACAGCAUAUGUAACAUAACAUUUCCGACGUAGGAACCUAGUAUUUAAUUUUAUAAUUAAUUUCAUAUACAAUUUGAAUUUAGUCAUUAAUAAUAUUUUUUUAGAUAAUAACGACUCCAUUUCUCUCUCUCUCACACACACACACACACACACACACAGCUUAGAUAGUCACCACAAGUCCGUACGCUAGUCAUGUCACAUGAAUUGCGAUGUCACAAACGGUCAAAAAGUGUCGAAUUUUGAACGUGAUUUUUUUAUCUUUGUAUUACUUAAUAAGUAUCACAAACGAUUAGAAAUUUUGUCACGAGACGUAUUUCAGUUUGAUGCUUUUUGAUUUGUGAAUCUUAAAUCAUUGUACAACAGUCCAGAGUAAAAAUAUCAAUGGAACCAAUUUAUCAGAAACCUAUUUAAAACCUUACUGAUAUGGCAAUAAGGUCCUGUAUAAAAUCUCGCAUCUAUAUUUUUACCCACAACUCAUGCUAAACUGUGAUUUUUAAGCGCGGUAGGAAAUAUAGGAAUGAAAUUUAUAACUAUUCGUUUAUUUUUAUUAAAUUUUGAAACUGAAAUAUUAGACUCCAUCAAUUAGAUGAUUUAUUUCAUACUCUAAAAUUAAAAAUGUUCGUUCUCAGUUAUGUUAUGCCCGAAACUACAUAAAAAAAAUAGUUGUAAAUAAAUAUACAAAUAGAUAUACGUUAUAAUGAAUAACCUUUUCCUCGUAGUUGUGUGAGUACAUAUCUGCCGUCGCUUCACUGCCUUGUUGGAUGCAAUAACUCUAGCCUUGAUAGUAUUAAUGAAUACAUUAUUGAUUCUACGCUUCGUACAUCAAUAUUUAAUAAAGGCCCGAUCCACGGCCGAACUCAUUAUAGAUUUUCAAGUGCAAAUAUCUAAAGGUCCAUCCAGAUCUGACGAAUGCGUCCCGAAUGUGCCGCGCAUUUGAGUGCAAAAUGUACUUAAGAAGACAGUCUGGCAAACAAGUUUUGGCAGUACAUCCCUCUUUUUGGGGUUAUCACAAGCCCCGUUUUGUCCCCUAAUAGUUUUUACCGCGUCUUUCUGUCUGUAUGUUCCAGAUAAACUCAAAAACUGCUGAACGGAUUUUCAUCCGGUUUUCACCUAUCAAUAGAGUGGUUCUUAAGGAAGGUUUAGGUGUAUAAUUUGUUAACCCGUGCGAAGUCUACAUACAUAUGGUCAGGUGAGAAGCAAAAUUCAGCAAUUGCAAAAAAAGAUUAAACAUUGGUCAACAUUGUUUAAUUACUAGUAACGUUCACUAUGACUCUGAAGUUGUGGUAGUAAUUAGUGAGGUUUGGUUGUCACCUGACGAUAUAUAAGAGAAGGACAGUACCUAUUCCUCUGCCUACGGUUCACUGACAGAACCAAUCUUGCCAAACUAUAGCAAUCCUUUAUUGCGCAAAUUGUUCGCGAAUGGUAGGCUAAAAGCAUUUUCCAGACCUGGACGCACCUUAACCAGAGAAAAGUAAGGUCAUUUCUGAAAUAAAAUUAUCUGAAAUCAGAAUCUAAUAAAACUUUGAAAUGUAAUUUCUGAAUUCCUAAUUUCAUCAAAAUAGUCUUUAUUUUUAAAGUCGUAACGUCGACAAGCGCAUGCAAAGAUUGACAACGAAGUGUUCCAAAUGGGUUUCAAAGGAACAAUAGUUUUCAGUGAUUGCUAUACAUGCUUUGUAAAAAAAAAAAGAUUUUCAAGUAUUCUAAUGCCUCUAAAACCCUCUAUUUCCGAAAAUAGAAACUUUCAUAGAGCUUUAGUAUAUGUACCUAUAUGGUGAUAGGCAAGGCUAAUGAAUAAUCAAGACCUGAGUACACUUGAUGAGAUUUAUUGCUUUUAGCUUUCAGGACCUGGAAAGGUGGAUAGUGCUUAAAUUUUAGUAUGCUUGUGAGAAAUCUCAGGAAUAACGUAAAAAAAGUGAACGCUCAGUGAAAAUACUAUGAUAUUAAAUGCCGUUUUCUUAACUCGAAUGAACAGUAGUUUUUAUAUCUCACUUUGUAAGAGAAAUUUAGAUCCAAUGCUAGUUUUACUGUAUGUCACAUUUAUUUUUAAAUUUAGUUCAAUUUUGUUGUAAGCGAGUUGUAUAAUGUUCGAAUGAUAAUAUGUUAACGAGGCUGACUCGGGAGCCUAGCCAACAUGACAAUCCUAGCCUAGCCAACACAUUUUUAUAUUCCUUCAAAUAUAAAAAUGUGCAUGAUUGAUGGUACGAAUAGUUACACGACUACUUCCAUACAUUACUCAAAUUUCGAUUGUCAUUUUCUAUCAACAAUUGUCAUCUUGGCUAGGCGCCCUGACAAUUUUUAAUGUAUUUUACAUCAAGCGUACCUACAAUUUGAACCUAGGUGAUGAUAUUCCAUAAAUCAUGCAAUAUUCCCUAAACCAUCUUACACAAUUGAUAUAAAAAUAUAAAGUAUUGUUUGGUUGCGGUUUUCGUAAUUAAAGAUCAUUACCUUAUUCCAGUAAAAUACCUCUUUAAAACAUGCUCAUUGUCAGCUGGUAUGUUUAAUAGAAAAAGACUAGAUAUUUUGGUGAUUAUUAUAUUAUUUCUUAAUUAAGUAGAAAUUGCAAAAUUUAUUAAGUAUAUAAGUACUGGGCAGUGAUUAACAAUAUUACUGUCCUUUUAUAUAUGUUUAUAGAUAUUUAAUUUAAAAUCGUAUCUCUGAAUUCCUGUUUAAUUAAAAAGUAGGCACCACUUUAAGAGUUUCGAAUCAAAACUACUUAAUAAUUUUAUUUAGUGUCGUUGGAAAUUGGUUAAAUACUCAACUACUGUGGUUUAAAGACUAGCUAAAAAGCAGCAAGUUUUAUAUGUGUGAUUUAUUAGUACAUUACGAUACAAGUGCGAAAAAUAAAAAAAUUGUAACGAGUGGCGAUAAAUUAAACACGACCGAAGGGAGUGUUUUAAAAUCGACACGAGUUGCGAAUUACCUAUCCGCACAUAUAUCGUACAACAUUUUAUAGUACAUAUGGGCCAUUAAAUUAUCGACAUGUUACGUAAUGUGCUAAUUAUCGCACUAGUGCGGUAAAGUAGCAUCAUAUGUACUGUAAAAAUAGUUACUGGCUACCAAAUAGCGCAAUAUGUAACAUGCAGCUAAUUGAAUUAUCAUAUUAAACAGACUGAUUAGCUCUUUCACCGCAAAAGACGUCAACUGACGGGCACGGCUAGCCCAAUAUCAACCUCCGUGCAUUGCGACAAGGUUCACGAAGACGCGCCGCACAUGAUAGGCGUGGCGUUCAAAGAGUUAAACAGCAUUAUUACUGUUCGCGAAUUAAGUCCGAGGGAUCGCAGGGUGGAGUACACCCUUCCGCUUCCUCAUCUCGACAGUCCUUAAACUUCGUGCAUGAAUAAAAAAUAUUUUCAAACAUCCAGCAGGGCUAAGAUGGACGGCUGUCUAUCAUUUGUCACCAUACCUGUCACGUUCUAACAAAUACGUAAGUGACGCAUGGAAUGAAAAAGAGCCGACCAUCUUAGCCCCACUGACAGACUUUCAUUAAUUUAAAUAACAAAAUAAAAGAUUUUUUGGUAUUAUUUACAAUAUUGUUGGCUAGCUAUAUUUUUACAUUUAGAAUGGCCUGUUUAAUCCAGCCUUGUCGUAGAAGACUUCAGAAAAAUAAGCACCUAAUCAUUAUUAACAGAACAAAACAAAUUUAACAUUACAUAUAUCUCCAUCCUAUCCUACUAUACCAAUCAGAGAUUUUGAUAUAAUUGUCGCAACUUAUUAGUCUUGCGACAACUUAUGCUAGCCCUUAUAAAAUAGAUGCGCUAAUAUAUUUUUGUUGAUUACAUUGUUUUCUUUAUUGCAAAGGUUUUUAUUUCUUAUUGUAAAUCUUUAUUGCUAAUGUCAAGAAAGUAUACAAUAAACAGAUUUUACAUA